RNAcentral lists this ribosomal RNA (495 nucleotides) under uncultured bacterium. Its description in RNAcentral is "partial 16S ribosomal RNA". It matches the Rfam family "Bacterial small subunit ribosomal RNA", at positions 28 to 507 of the family's 1533-position model. The record is from RNAcentral.
GACGAACGCUGGCGGCGUGCCUAAUACAUGCAAGUAGAACGCUGAAGGAGGAGCUUGCUCUUCUGGAUGAGUUGCGAACGGGUGAGUAACGCGUAGGUAACCUGCCUGGUAGCGGGGGAUAACUAUUGGAAACGAUAGCUAAUACCGCAUAACAGUAGAUGUUGCAUGACAUUUGCUUAAAAGGUGCAAUUGCACCACUACCAGAUGGACCUGCGUUGUAUUAGCUAGUUGGUGGGGUAACGGCUCACCAAGGCGACGAUACAUAGCCGACCUGAGAGGGUGAUCGGCCACACUGGGACUGAGACACGGCCCAGACUCCUACGGGAGGCAGCAGUAGGGAAUCUUCGGCAAUGGACGGAAGUCUGACCGAGCAACGCCGCGUGAGUGAAGAAGGGUUUCGGAUCGGAAAGCUCUGUUGUAAGAGAAGAACGAGUGUGAGAGUGGAAAGUUCACACUGUGACGGUAUCUUACCAGAAAGGGACGGCUAACUACGUG